This 455-nucleotide ribosomal RNA is filed under the name Nitrospirota bacterium. Its description in RNAcentral is "Nitrospirae bacterium (groundwater metagenome) partial 23S ribosomal RNA". It matches the Rfam family "Bacterial large subunit ribosomal RNA", at positions 2477 to 2925 of the family's 2925-position model. The record is from RNAcentral. Lineage: Bacteria; Pseudomonadati; Nitrospirota.
ACAGGCUUAUCGCGUCCAAGAGUUCACAUCGACGACGCGGUUUGGCACCUCGAUGUCGACUCAUCGCAUCCUGGGGCCGAAGUAGGUCCCAAGGGUCGGGCUGUUCGCCCGUUAAAGCGGUACGAGAGUUGGGUUCAAAACGUCGUGAGACAGUUUGGUCCCUAUCUGUUGUGGGCGGAGGAAAUUUGAGGGGAGUUGACCCUAGUACGAGAGGACCGGGUUGAACGGACCUCUAGUGUGCCGGUUGUCCCGCCAGGGGCAGCGCCGGGUAGCUAUGUUCGGAAAGGAUAACCGCUGAAAGCAUCUAAGCGGGAAACCUACCCCAAGAUUAGAUUUCCCUGCCGUAAGGCACUGAAGGUCCCCCGUAGACUACGGGGUAGAUAGGCGGGGUGUGAAAGAGCUGUGAGGCUUUGAGCUAACCCGUACUAAUCGACCGUGAGGCUUGACCAUUAUAU